RNAcentral lists this ribosomal RNA (206 nucleotides) under uncultured bacterium. RNAcentral's name for it is "partial 16S ribosomal RNA". It matches the Rfam family "Bacterial small subunit ribosomal RNA", at positions 568 to 774 of the family's 1533-position model. The record is from RNAcentral.
CGUGCAGGCGGCCAGGUAGGUCAGCUGUGAAAACUCGAGGCUCAACCUCGAGCUGUCGGCUGAAACCAUCUGGCUAGAGUCCGGAAGAGGAGAGUGGAAUUCCUGGUGUAGCGGUGAAAUGCGCAGAUAUCAGGAAGAACACCCGUGGCGAAGGCGGCUCUCUGGGACGGUACUGACGCUGAGACGCGAAAGCGUGGGAGCGAACA